GAAUGGCGGAUGGCGGUGGCUUUUAAAAAUAAGACAUAUUUUAAGGCAAUUACAUGAAAAAGAACGUGUGCUCUCAAUAAAAAUGUAUUGUACAAUCAACAAGGCGGACUAACUUAUUAUGGAUUUUGUAGAUAAUGGGUCUAUUGAAUUGAAUAAAAAGAAGUAUCUACCUAUUUGCUUUUACUUCCUCGUAUUUAAGUAUUUACUUAAUAGUAAUUAAAUAAAGCAUUAAAGAAAUUA
Diabrotica virgifera virgifera (western corn rootworm) is the source of this 240-nucleotide long non-coding RNA. RefSeq lists it as uncharacterized. Lineage: Eukaryota; Metazoa; Arthropoda; Insecta; Coleoptera; Chrysomelidae. The record is from RefSeq and is a predicted model, not a curated record. The transcript is spliced from 2 exons.